RNAcentral lists this transfer RNA (73 nucleotides) under Bacteriovorax stolpii. It matches the Rfam family "tRNA". From Rfam's summary of the family: Transfer RNA (tRNA) molecules are approximately 80 nucleotides in length. Their secondary structure includes four short double-helical elements and three loops (D, anti-codon, and T loops). Further hydrogen bonds mediate the characteristic L-shaped molecular structure. tRNAs have two regions of fundamental functional importance: the anti-codon, which is responsible for specific mRNA codon recognition, and the 3' end, to which the tRNAs corresponding amino acid is attached (by aminoacyl-tRNA synthetases). tRNAs cope with the degeneracy of the genetic code in two manners: having more than one tRNA (with a specific anti-codon) for a particular amino acid; and 'wobble' base-pairing, i.e. permitting non-standard base-pairing at the 3rd anti-codon position. Lineage: Bacteria; Pseudomonadati; Bdellovibrionota; Bacteriovoracia; Bacteriovoracales; Bacteriovoracaceae. The record is from Rfam by way of RNAcentral.
GUGGCUGUAGUUCAGUCGGUAGAGCACUAGAUUGUGAUUCUAGGUGUCGUGGGUUCGAGCCCCAUCAGCCACC